Molecule: long non-coding RNA, 1245 nt
Organism: Lynx canadensis (Canada lynx)
Lineage: Eukaryota; Metazoa; Chordata; Mammalia; Carnivora; Felidae
Exons: 3
Source: RefSeq, a predicted model, not a curated record
CUCACGUUGCCUGCUGGGAGGGGCGGGCUGGGAGAGGAGAGCCCCUGCUCUACUAAUGACCAGAAUUUGCUGGGCUGCUUUACUCACUCUGGAUCCUUUACUUCUGUGACCACCUCUUCUGCUCAGAACAGCCCUGAAAAGUAGGGUUUGUCAUCUGUGUUUCACAGUUCUGGAAGCUUGCCAAGGGCUGUAACCUGAGGGGCAAGAAGGAGCAGUCCUCGAGAUCCCGGGAUAGGGCCAUCCCAGGAUUCCAAAUGCCUUCCUAGAAGUUGCUUCCAGCCUACAGAAUCCCGGAGUUCCCAGAUGGGACACUGAAAGUGCAGCCCUGGGACCUGUGUCAUGCCCACGUGGUCUCUGGCCAUAGCCAAACCAGCCACAUCCUGUCUUCAUGGUCCAGGGAGCAGGUCGUGAGAUGGAGGAGCUAGAGGCAAAGGGAUCAGUAACAGCCUGGAAGGAGAGCCCAGCUAAGGGCCUUCUCGGUCAGCUUCCAUAGCGGCUCUGGGCCUGCUCCGCCAGCGGAACGAAUGCUGAGAUGAUGCUGCAGGCAGAGAGGCAGUUCACCCUUUGGCUGGCCAGGACCCAAGCCAGGGACUGGAACACAAGAGCAGGCAUUGGUCCCUCCCUGAUCCCCUGAACAAGAGCUGCACUGUGCACACCCCUCCCAUUCCCCUACCCCGCCCCUCAGGCCAGGACAAGGUCAGGCAGGGCCACCCAUGGAGGCCGGAAACAGGAGGACAGCCAGGCAGCAAGGAACAAGGGAGAGAGGCUUUGAGUUCCAGGAUCAGGGAUACACAGACAGACCUGCGGGCAGAGAGAGUCUGGGGUGGCAGGGGUGGCCACCAGGUGUUCCAAAUGUGUCCAGGACACAGAGGAGCAGACCCACGUGAGAGAGACCCAAGCCCAUAGGGGCAGCAGCAGGGAGGUUGAUUGAUUCUGGAGAUAAGGGCGACCCUGGACAAGGACACGGGAUUCACAGGCCCCACCGCACAGCCACAGCCUUCAGCAGAGCCCCAAGGCUCCUUGGCUGACCUCAUUCACUUGUCCAUCAACUGAGUCACCGCAACUCAACACUGCCAGCCCCGUGUUGGGCACUAGGGGGAAAGAAGUGAAAAGGCACUGUCCCCAGCUUCAUGCAAGCAGCUGAACCCAGGAUCUAGAUUUAAGGAGUUGUUUAUGGGGCACCUGGGUGACUCAGUCGGUUAAGCGUCUGACUUUGGCUCAGGUCAUGAUCUCACAGCUCGUGAG